UGCUUAAGGCUAACAUGAUCCAGUGUC
This 27-nucleotide non-coding RNA is filed under the name Bombyx mori (domestic silkworm). The record is from RNAcentral. Lineage: Eukaryota; Metazoa; Arthropoda; Insecta; Lepidoptera; Bombycidae.